RNAcentral lists this long non-coding RNA (15084 nucleotides) under Citrus sinensis (sweet orange). RNAcentral describes it as "long non-coding RNA (CSIN_LNC000495)". The record is from RNAcentral. Lineage: Eukaryota; Viridiplantae; Streptophyta; Magnoliopsida; Sapindales; Rutaceae.
AAAAUUUGUACAUUAAAAUGAUUUUACGACAUUUAAUAAAAACAUACCGCAAGCAACCAAACUACUAAUAAAUUUCUUUUAAUAAAAGCUGAAGCUCCAUUGAUGAAAACUCUCGUUAAACCUCAUAUUUAAAAAGCUACGAUAACAAUAACGGAGCCUCUUAACGCCGGUGACACUAAUACCCAUCCGAUCAUUAGCAGUUUUGCAGACGGUCAAGCAUCGCUGACCGCCAGGCAAUGGCUCCAAUCACAUGCUUAUGUAUCAGUUAUCACGUCACUUUCGCCCGACAUAUUAAAACAUAAAUUAGAGAUCAGGGCGGACUGCAUAUAAAAUUAUAAGUAAUCAUCACCAUCAUCAACAACAAUUGAAAAAGAAAAUGGAAAAUCGAAAUCUGAAAGACUCACCUUUGACAUUCAUAAACAAUAUAAUAAUAUCAUCACUCACAUAACGAAAACCUUAAUAAUUAUCAAUCUGAGAUUACAUGCAUUGUUAUUUGUUAAACACCCUAUUUAACCAUAGGCUUAAACGAGGUGAGACUCUUGAAAUGCUCCCAUGGCUUCUCCCAAACGACAGCUUCAAAUUUCUUGGUCGAAGGUCCGUCCUUGACGACCAAGAUCAGCCGGUAAUUGGUGCCGGAAACCACCUGAGUCUCGGCCUUCUCCACGCUCUCGAACUUCAACGCGCUCUUUGACCGUUUGUUGUACUCUGUCACCGCGAACUGCCCGAUCUCCAUCACGUGCUUCUCCGUGGGGUCUAUCGGAGUCCAUCCCCCAAAUAUAGGCUUAAACGAUGUGAGACUCUUGAAAUGCUCCCAUGGCUUCUCCCAAACGACAGCUUCAAAUUUCUUGGUCGAAGGUCCGUCCUUGACGACCAAGAUCAGCCGGUAAUUGGUGCCGGAAACCACCUGAGUCUCGGCCUUCUCCACGCUCUCGAACUUCAACGCGCUCUUUGACCGUUUGUUGUACUCUGUCACCGCGAACUGCCCGAUCUCCAUCACGUGCUUCUCCGUGGGGUCUAUCGGAGUCCAUCCCCCAAACAUAGGCUUAAACGAGGUGAGACUCUUGAAAUGCUCCCAUGGCUUCUCCCAAACGACAACUAACAAUUUCUUGGUCGAAGGUUCGUCCUUGACGACCAAGAUCAGCCGGUAAUUGGUGCCGGAAACCACCUGAGUCCAGGCCUUCUCCACGCUCUCGAACUUCAACGCGCUCUUUGACCGUUUGUUGUACUCUGUCACCGCGAACUGCCCGAUCUCCAUCACGUGCUUCUCCGUGGGGUCUAUCGGAGUCCAUCCCCCAAGCAUAGGCUUAAACGAGGUGAGACUCUUGAAAUGCUCCCAUGGCUUCUCCCAAACGACAGCUUCAAAUUUCUUGGUCGAAGGUCCGUCCUUGACGACCAAGAUCAGCCGGUAAUUGGUGCCGGAAACCACCUGAGUCUCGCCCUUCUCCACGCUCUCGAACUUCAACGCGCUCUUUGACUGUUUGUUGUACUCCGUCACCGCGAACUGCCCGAUCUCCAUCACGUGCUUCUCCUUGGGGUCCUCUAUCGGCUUCCAUCCCCCAACCAACGCUCCUUUACGGUCGCCGGCGGCCAGGAGAGGGACCACGGAGAGAAAGAGAACAAUAAGACAGCAAAAACGUUGAUUCAUUUUCGUUGUUUUGGUAACCGUUCACACCAAAGUCCGUGACUUCCGGUUCUUGAGUGAAUACUUCGCCUUGGCCCCUGGUUUUGGAUUUUAUACGCGGCGAGUUUUAGUGCACCGACACGUCUGUACGCUUUGUCUGAUUUGAAAAGGAGGUACACGUGACAGUCAGUGGUGUGAUUUCUGUGGUCUUAUCAUAUACGUGGCGGUUUACGAAAUGGGGCCCGCAUUCUUGGCGUGGCAGGAUGUGAAUACUGAGUGGGAAGGAGAAUGUAUGUGCUUUAGCACACCUGAGCAUUUACCACUGGAGAGUGAUACUGACGCAGGCAAAUAAUAAAAUAAUAAUAUCUAAUUGGGUGAGACUGAUUUCUUCUCUACACUACACCUUUUUUUUUAAUUAAAAAAAUAUAUAUUUUUUUAAAUUACUUAAUUAAUAUUUUUUCUUUGUCUAGAGAAGUGAUACUGACGCAGGCAAAUAAUAAAAUAAUAAUAUCUAAUUGGGUGAGACUGAUUUCUUCUCUAGACUACACCUUUUUUUUUAAUUAAAAAAAAAUAUUUUUUAAAAUUACUUAAUUAAUAUUUUUUCUUUGUCUAGAGAAGUGAUACUGACGCAGGCAAAUAAUAAAAUAAUAAUAUCUAAUUGGGUGAGACUGAUUUCUUCUCUAGACUACACCCUUUUUUUAAUUAAAAAAAUAAAUUUUUUUUAAAAUUACUUAAUUAAUAUUUUUUCUUUGUCUUUUUAAUUUUAUAAUUUUUAAUCAAUUCACUGAAAUAUGUUUUUCUAUUUAUAAAUAAAAAGAACAAAAUCUACUAUUUAAAAAUAACAUUAAUAAACUUUUUUCGUUAUUAAAAUUAAUGAAUAUCAAUAAAUUAAUUUUUAUCAAAUACAAAAAUUAAUAAAUAUUAAAAAAAAUUCGUAUAUAAAAAAUAUAAAAUAGAGCUCAUAAUAUAUUAAAAAAGGGUAAAACCAUGAAUUAAUUGUUUAGUUUAUAAAAUAUAAGAAGGUAGGAAGAAUAUCCAUUGUAAAAUUAAAAUGAAAAAAAGAAAGAGAUAAGUAAUUUUAAAUUUUUAAAUUUUUAAAAAUAAAUUUGUUUUGUAAAAUAAAAAAAAAAUUAAUGAAUUUAAACAACCUUAUCCUAUCCUAUUUAAUUUAGGUAGCCCCACCAUAACUAAUUAGACAGCAGAGAUAAGAAAAUUACGUGAACUUUAAAUGUGAUACUUUCUUCUGGAACAUUACAGAAUUUCCAACUAUGAAUCUUUCGAUUUUUUUUCUUUUUUUACUUUUAGUCAAAAUAAAUUAUCAUUAUUAUUAUAAUUAUUUUAUCGACAACUAUUAAUAAAAGCCCAGGAUAUUAAAUUCGAGUGAUGGAUAAAUAAAAAAUUGUAUUUUCUUCCUUCUCCAUCCCCGAUGCGCCGUGCUCAAUUUCUUCCUUCUCCAUGCAUGCUCAACGGCAUAGGGAUUGCCACUUAGGCUUGUAGUUUAGUAGUGAAUCAUUAUUUUUAAAGUUAAGUAUAAUUAUGAGGGUAAUUAUUUGAGUUCUUAUGGACUCAAUUUUUCUCAAUUAAAUAUAAUUAAGUGAAGACUUCUUAUAACGUCUUUCUCCUUUGGGAAAUGUGAGUGGAGUAGAAACAUCUUCCUCUGUGAGAGAUAUUUGGUUGGGUUUGUACUUUAUAGAAUAAAAAUAUAAUAAUAUAAGUCUCAUAUAUAUAUUUAAUUAUAAAUAUUAGUGUAAUGACUGACUGUCAUAACAAUUAUAUAUAUCUCUGUGUGUAAUACAGUAAUAUGAUGCUUAUUUGGUUAAAAAAAAAAAAAAAAACAGCAUAGAGGUUGUUCACUUUUCCCCUCCCUCACAAAGGACACAUAGCCAAUGGCAAGGCCGAAGCGAACACAACCACCAACAGUGCCAGUUCUCGCUGGAAAUAUGAGGCAGGAGGGUGAUGCAAGUUUGGGAGGCUGCUGGCGGGACGAAGAGCCGUGGCCUGCAGCUGAUCGACGCGGCGUGGACGAUGGUGACUAGCGGCUGCAAAAUCAUAACCCUGAAAUUUUAGGGCUUCCUAUUUGUUUUGGUUUGGGUGGUUUUUCAUAAUUUAUUAUCAAAUAAAUUAUUUUGAUUGAGUUAAAAAUAAAUAAAUAAAAAAUUGAAAGUUGAUGUUGUUUGUGAUGCUUUCAAAGCAAGUGUAUGGUGCUAUUGCUAUGGAUACUGGGACAGGCAAUGAUGCUGGAGUUUGAAGAAAAUUGAGUCCCAAAGAAACAAGAAGCGGUGAUGGUUGCUGAUAGACGCGGCAAAAUUUAUCGAUCCUUACGAGGGUGACAAAAAAGUAACCGUAGAAUUUAAGACACGCAUUCGACUAGUAACGCGCAAGAUGAGCACACAGGAAAGCACGCUCCUCUCACAAAUACACAAGCAAGCAUUCGCAUUUCAGCCACCCUACUGUUCUCAGUGACUCUCGGAUGACACUCUCAUGCAUUUCACGGCAUUCAUCGCCCUGAAACCUUGGACAAAGAAGGAAGUUGGUUAUUAUUCGUAAUUUCAGACAACGGUGAUACAAUUUAAUCUUAUUACACACAUUAAAAUUUUUAUAAACUAAUAUUGCCGGCACUAGCAAAAAAAAAUUUAUUUUUGUAAAGUUAAUAAAUGAAUAGUCUACUAAUUUAUUGAUAAAUAAAUAUUUAAUAAUUUACAGAGAGAUUUUUUUUAAUAAAAAAAAGAACAACCAUUACGGAUUGUUUUGGUCAUUGCAAGUUCCGGUUAGGCCAAGGUACGGUUAUUUGACAACAAGUUGGUGAAGACGAAGGCAUUCAUGAACUAGAUGAAGUUAUUUUUGGUCUACACUACAAAAAUAUGAUAGAUAUUGAGAGCCUUUUGAAUUAUCGGAGUGAAAAUGAUACACUGAUGGAAUCAUCUAUUGACGAAGAGAUUAUUCAAGUAUAGUGGAUUUCUCUAGUGAUGAUGAUUAAUGAUGAUGAUCAAUAAGAUAGUUUUGUUUUACAAAAUGUUUUCGCAAAAAGGCAUUUCAAGCAAUAGUAGCCUUAAAUAAUUACUUUUAACACACAAAAAAAAAGAAUACCAAGUUUACACAAAAAAAAAAAAAAAACAAGACUAAGUUCAAUUUAGGAACAAAUAAAAAAUCAAUAACUUUAGAUGUAGAUUUUGCAAAGAGUUGAAUGCAGAUAAUUGAAGUUGUUUAUAUUUUAUUUACUAUUAAUUUUUGUGUUUGAUUAAUUUUUAAUUUAUAUUUUCAUUAGGCCCUAAAAGAUUUAAAAAUAUUAUUAUCUUAUGCAUUAGACAAAUUAUUAAUUUAAUAAACUAGCCUAAAUCAGAGAAUCAAGAUUAUUAACUUAUCAAAUAUUUAUUUAUCGUAAAUUUACUGUAUUGUAAUUAAGAAUUUUUCACAAGGGAUAAUGAUCGAUUAUUUGCUGGCGAGAGCUCUCUGAGAACCUUUUUCUUUUUAAAUAAAUAUUGUUUUCCAUAAAAUCGUAUAAAAGCAAGUGCCACCUAGCUACAUCUAAUAAAUAAAUAAAUUUAUCCAACUUUGUUUAUUGCAGACCUUAUUUUUUACAUAUUAAAUGCUAGUGACGAGGCAUCGUGGAAGGAAUUCACUGACAAUUCAGUAUGCUGCGGAUAAUGCAUGUAUAAAUUUUUAGGGGCGCGUAAAUCAGUUUCCGUUCAAACUACAACACAUUCAAUUUAGAGUAUUAGGAUUGGAUUCAAAUGGUGAACUCAAUCUAAACCAAACUGAAUUUAAUUCGAUUAAAUUCAUAUUACAAAUUUAGGCUACAAGAGUUUCAAUCACUACCUCGUAAAACAAGUCAAACAUAUGGAAAAAAAAAAUCAAUAAAAAUCACAUAUCUAAGUCACUCCAAUCUCACAUUCAAAAUCUCAGGACCCAGUUUUCAAGAUUCAAUUUUGAGUCCCUUUCCAUAAGUAUCGCAAGUUUCGUACAUCAAUUAACAUUCAUUUUAGUUUUCUCAUGAAUGUGAUUGAAUGAUUUACUCUUGCUAUGGAUCAUGAGAUGUGAUUGAAGAAGUUCUUAAAUCUAUUUAUUAGUAUAGGGUUAGUAUACAUUAUUAGAUGAAUGAUUUAUCUUUAAUGUCAUGUGGUUGUCAAUGAAUGGUUAACUCCUUAUUUAUUAUGAUCUAUUGAUUGUAACUUAUUUUCACUUAUAACUCACCAUAUUUAAAGUCUUAGAGUAUAGCUCUAGAUAACUAGAGCUAGACUUUUUUCAACUUACUCAUAUUGAUUGUCACUCAAGAGAUGUAAACAUAAACAAAUUAUCAACAUGAGAAUAUCUUAAUAAGAUCACAUACUUAAGGGAUUGAGAACUCCUCUCCUAUAAAAUCUAUGUAUAUCACCAAGAGUUAUCGCUAUGUUUUAUUGUCACAAUCAACAAGCUAAGUAUACUUCAAAAUUAAAAUUGCCUAAGCUCUAUAUAGCUCAUAAUUGAAUCGCCGAGCUCAGUUAUAAAUUGCGAGAGCUAAUUGAGUGCAACUCAAUUACCAUCGCCACAACUGAGUAUAGCUCAGUAUUGAAAUCACUACAACUGGCAAAUUGUAGCUCAGUUAUCUCUUACUACAGCUUUGUACAUCAUAGUUAUGAAUUGCUAGAGCUAAGUUUAACUUAGUUUGAAAUCAUUAGAGCUGUGAGAAAGCUCAACUACAGACUCCAAAAUAACUUAGAAGUUUACUAAUUAACAAAAGGCGACUCAGCAGCGAGUUGCCACAUGUCACCCCCACAACAUUUUCUCUUAAGUUUCUUGUGCGUUAAUUAUUUCAACACAAGAAACUAGAUGGAUCUUGUUUUGGGUAAAUUUAGGACAUUAUUUUAGAAAAAUAGGCAAGUACAUGCGGCAGUAGAGAAUAAACGAGAAGAAAAGUUAACACUUUUAAGUGAAUAAGGGAUAGCUCAAGACAAGUUAGAGGUAAUCUUUGAAAGAGAGAGAGGAUAACUCCAGGAAAUUUGCCCAGUUUAAAAGUGAAAGUGGAAUUAAAAAAUGAUAAUUGGAGCCCUCACGUGUGGGCUGCAUGCCAUCAGAAAAAGGGUUAAAUAUCUUGUCUAUUAUGCUAAAAACAAGAGACCAAUAGCAGAAUAAUUAGCUGACAUAGCAAUGAGGAAAGGACAUGUUAGCACUGCUUAAUUAUCCCUUAAAAAAUAGUAGGAUCACUGCACCAGCUUCUGCCACGUGGCAAAGAGCAAUGACCACAUGAAGGUUAAAGGAAUGAAUUAUUCACCAAACUUACUUGGUCACUAUUUGAGGAAGGCAGCACCAAUAGAAAAUCUCCGUAUGAUAGAAAAGAUAAAAAUGUCCCUAGGGCGUUUAUCCUAGAAAUUUAACUCAGGACAAGAUAAUAGACUUUUUCUCCAUAUUUGAUUUUUUGAGAGGCUACUUCAUGUUCUUCUUCCUGCAAUUUUAGGAUUUUUUAUUUCAUUUUUAUACCUCCAUGGAAGAUUUCAGUGAUCUCAUCUCUUAAAGAAACUUUUUCAUUAUUUUUUUCUUAGAAAACUAUCUAAUCUUCAUAAGACCCACAUCUUCCUCAUGUUAUUAUUCAUCCUAAACAAACUUUAAUAAGAUUUUGUUAAUAUUAUAAAUAAAUAAAUAUAUAUAUAGGACAGUUAUUAUUCAAUCUGAAAGUCCUGGAUUGGAUCAUUGUCUGGGAAUCCACUGGGAAUCCAACGACCCCUGGUGUCUUUUUUUUUUAAUUUGUUGCUGCACAUGGUGGGGCCCACCAUGUGCAGCCACUAGGCUUUGUCCCAAAAACUGUUUCACAAUUUCCUAUAUAUAUAUAUGUAAUACUUUUUUUAUUUAUUAGAUUGGAAAUAAAUUACUCCCGUGGAUAUAAGCCUAAUGACGAAUCAUGUAAAAUCUUAUAUGCUCUUUAUGAUUUACGUGUAUUUCCUACUUAUUACAAUGGUUUUAAACUUCAUAUAUGAGCUAACAUGAGAUAUACUGAUAAGUUCUCUAGAAUUAUCUCUUGAUUGCACCUAGGGUGCCAUUAAGCUCUCUUAAGCUUGCCAUAUCAACGCUCUAUGCUAACUCCAACGAGCUUUAUUGAGUUAUCUAAGUUAUUCCAAAUUCAAAAUAUUUUAGUUCACCUUUGAGAUCACAUCAGCUAUAUCUUUUGCCCCAAAUGUUAAAAAAAACAAAAAAACCUAUCUCUGCUAGCCCAAUCUCUCCAUAAAUAUAAAUUUAUUUAUUUAAAUCAAAUUUGACUUUGAUCUGGUAAGAACAACCAAUAAAUAAUUCAAAUCAAAUUUUAGUCAAAAUCUGGUGAGAACUUGAAUAUUUUUAUAUACAUAUACCUUCUUUUAUAUGAUGUUGUCUUGAAGCUGAAGCUAGGUUAGCAGAAGUAGUAGUACUAGUACUAGUGCUUCUCAUGGGCGGAUAGAAAAUGCAGAAAUUAUAUUUUGAACUAUAUAUGUUCAAUAAAAGGGAAAAAACUCAAUAUGGUGUGCUAACCACUAAGGGAAGCAUUCAUUAGGCACGCAAAUAUACAAUAGGCGUCUUUUCUUAUAGGAAAAGCAUCAAUUUUUAUCAUCAUCUCAUCAAACACUAGCAUUGCUAUAAUUCCUAUUCAGGGUCCCCCAAUGCCUGUUACGGAGACUUGAUUGAGAGAAACCUCCACAGUUUACAAGAGUUUGCAGCUACUGAACAUCCCCAUCUGUCCCAAAAACAUAAGCACCUGCAAUAUCCAAAAUUUGUCAAUACAUUUGUAUCAAGAAACAGUAAACAAUUAAUGUCGCGGUAAGAUUAUUUACCAAGUGUAGGCAUUAGAAAGGCCAGAGCAGCAAUGCCAGCAAUCUUAAGGGGCAGCCCUGUCUUGAUCAUAUCUUGAAUUUCGAUGUGCCCGGUUGUGAAUCCAACAAUAUUUGAAGGGGUUCCAGUCGGCAACAAGAAAGAAAAUUGUGCUCCAAUUGCUCCAGGAACCAUAAGAAGCAAUGGAUGAACAUGCAUAGUUUUUGCUAUUUGGAUCAGAAGUGGAAGAACGAGAGUUGUUGUGGCAUUAUUUGAUGUGAAUUCAGUAAUAAUCGCGCUAAUCAGACAUACGAUAGGUGCAAUGGCUAAAUAUGGCGCCGCCUCCAGGAAAUCCAAUGCUUUUGACAGAUCAUCAGCAAGACCGCUAGUCCUGACUCCAUCAGCUAUAGCAAAGCCAGCCCCUAAAAGCAAUAUAAUGUUCCAAGGUAGCUUCUUGCAUUUGUUCCAAUCCAUCAAUUUUUCUCCCUUUUGCUUCAUGCUCGGAAUUAUGAACAACAAUGUUGCCAUCACAACCUAUAUUUGUGUGUGUGUGUGUGUGUGUGUGUGUAUACAUAUGUAUUAAUAAUUCAGUUAAAAAUCAUCCAAAAGCUUGAUUAAACAUGUCUCAUUUAAUUAUGUUCUCAAAUGAUAAACAAAAGACCAAAGAGUACUCACACUAGCAGUUCCAUCACCAGCACGGUCAUUGAAGAGUGCUCCCCAACCUGGAAUGUCAUCUGUUAUUGAUCUUGUCAUCCACAAUGCUAUUAGCAUCUGCAUCAUUUAUCUUAAAUUAACUUGAAGACAUUUCCAAUAACAUUAUGCACAUCACUUAAAAGGGGAGAAAAAAAAAAAUUACAGCUCAGCUCACCCCAAAUACAGCUAGUACCAUCUUUUCAGCAAAAGCCAUUGGACCUGCCAAGAAAAACACCAAACAAUAGAAUUAAGCCACUGAACAUUAAUUAGCUGUAGCUGUCAUUAAUUGGACAGACAGCAGGGUCUUACCUAACAUGUCAAGCUCUCUCUUGAGAUUUGCUUUGUCCAAAUACUCGGAGAGAGCAGGUCCAGAUCCCCUUGAACAAUAGAACAAGCACAAAAUAGCCCACAAAGCAACGAAAAUCACUAAAGCCAAAGGGAACCCAAAACAGAACCAGGUACUGAAGCUGAUCGGGUUUGCUUCUGGAAAAUAGGUCUUCCACAUCCCGACCAAUAUUAGAUUAACACCUGUUCCAGUAAGUGUGCUCAUCCCUCCUACGGCUGCAGAGUAGAUGACCCCGAGCACCACAGCUUUGCAAUACUUCCUAACAAGGGUUGAUUGAAGAGGAACCUCUGGCAAGUUCUGUAAGAUCCCAGUGGCCACUGGCAUCAUGAUCACUGCUGCUGCCACGUUAUGCAUCCACAUGCUCACGAAUGCUGUCGUGCCACAUAUCCCAAGAAGCAGCAAGGGCGGAUUCAUUGGCUCUCCACAGAAUAGAAUAGUUAUCUGUAGUUAUUAAUAUAUAUAUGGUAUAGGAUUGUCCAUACAUAAUUAAUUCAUCUUUUGUCACUGAUAAUUUUUCUGAAAAAGAAAUCGUAACAAUUAAUGACAUGAUGAUGAUGAUGCAUUACGGGAACUUACAUUUAAGGCCAAUCUUUUGUGAAUGUUGUAGUGCUCAACGGCAAGAGCAAGAAUAAAGCUACCAAGAACGAGGGCAAUAACAUCAUCCAUGUAAGAAUGAGCAACGGUGUCAGCAGAAGAGAUACCAAACAGAGGAAACAGAAACAGAGGCGCCAUAGAGGUAAUGGGCAUGGGUACGGCCUCCGUGAGCCACCAAGCGAAGACCCAAGCAAGAACACCCAACAUGUUCCUGCUUGUCGCCUGCCCAUCGAGCUUCACACAUACACAUAUAACAGCGCACAGGAGAGGUCCUAGGAGGAUGUAGAAAUUGUUUGGUGUGAAAAUGGUUUUCAAUGUGAAGUGGGAGCUUGGUGACCGUUGGAUUUGACGAUGGGAAGGUAGGAGUGGCGCCUUGAUGUCACCAGAAUUUGGAUGAGCUUCGUGGUCACCGUUCAUUUUGCAGUGAACGUGUAACACGAUACGAGAGAAAAUUGAAGGUGUCGUUCGAAAGUGGAGGUUGCUGCAUGCCUUGGCCUUUUUAUAUGAAAAAUGUGAAGAGGAGGUGGAAGUAGACAACUUCUCUUUACCAUGACCCAACGACAGACGGCCAAGUGGGCACCAAACCUCCCCGAUUUUAACUGAAAAUAUACUCCUGCGUUGUAAGAAUUGAACAAGUCGUGUAUCUUACCGUGGACCGAUGUGAUAUUUGAAUUAAAAUAUUCUUACCGUGUAAGAAUAUACUCAAAAUAAUAUUUUUUAGUUGAACUUUUUCCUUUUAGAUAAGUCUAAAACGAUGUUGUUUCAAAUGUGUUUUUAUCCAUGCUUCGAUUCAUUAUCUGAAAAAUAAAACUAAAAAAUCUGAAUCAGACUGCCCCAACUUCAAAUUCAUUAUCCACUCACUACAUGACUCGUAACCUCAUCAUAUCUGAAUAUAUACAUGUAUAUAUACACACACACAUGCCCCAGAUCUACUGGACUUGAAAAUGAUGUAUUUUUUACAGGUGGGCAAAAUUUAAUUUACAAAUUUGCAUGAUGAUGAAGCUUCCGUGUCAGCUUCGUUAAGUGGUAAUCAAGAGCGUACUGGGGUUUCCGAUAAAUCAUGAUAUUGUAUAUUUGUAUGCAAUCAUCAAUCGGGGUCCGAGGAUUGAGGUUCGUAAUUAAUUAAUAAAUAAAAUGAAAAGAGAGAACCUCAACACCACAAGCUAAUCCAAUUAUUGCUCGACUAUCCAUCACAAUAAUUUGAAAACCCUGUUCAUAGUUCCACGUGUCGGACGAUGUUUUUCGCAAUAAUGCAACGUUUGGCACAAAACGUGGGCUCAGGGGUCCACCCCGAAAUUGACCUGUUGGGUCAUAUGUCUUGUCUUUCACCAAUCGUUAAAAAGCACAAAAAAAAAAAAACAAAAAAAAAAUCUAGGAUUCCCUCCCUCUCCGGAACUCUCUUAAACUUUUAACAAUUUUAUAUUGGGUCCUUCUAUCUUACAUGCAUGUAAGAUACAUUCCUCUCAUAUGAAUAGUGUGUGGAUCCCACACAUGCACUAUUCAUGUGAGGGGGAUGUAUCUUACAUGCAUGUAAGAUAGGAUUUGCCUUUUAUAUUUUAUACGAUGUAAUAAUAGUAUACAAAUAGAAUUGAGCUUCUUUAUUUAUUUAUUUAAUACUGAUUACACACUAAAUUAUUAUAUUACACAAAUAUUUAUAAUUACUAUUAAAUAUUACAUUGAUAUUUACAAUCAGAUAUAUAUAACUGAGACUUAUAUAUGAUUACAUUAAAUUCUAUGAAAUAUAUGUCCAGAUAAAUUAUUCUUACAGAUAAGAGAUGUCCUACUUCACUUAUAUUUCAUAAAGAAAAAAAAGUUAUAAAUAUUUAGAUCCCACAAUAUUUUCGUGGGGGCUUGUGAGGUCAGCAACCCACCACUUCGACCAAAGCUGAAGUGGCAGCUUCUUUAUUUUUAAAAUUACUAACUAAUCAAUAGAUAAAUUUUCAGUCAAGAGUGCUCAAUUGAAAUUUAGAUUGCGCGAAAAUCUUUAUUCAAAAUAAGGUGGCGGUGAAUACUUUUUUUUUUUUUUUCUUUUUUGGGAAUGAAAAUUUACAUUUUGUUUUCUUAGAAUUUGCACAUUUUGUAGCGGAUCUAGUUUUCCACGUACAAGACAAUCCCAGGGUUUGCAUUUUUUAAAAACUUGAAUUAAUAUGAAAUUUAAAUAGGCGUGAAUGAUAUAUUAAAUAUAUGAAAAUACUUAUACAUACAUAAAAGAACCCACCCACGUAAAAAACUAGUAAUAGUAAAUGAAGAAUAAGAUCCUAAGCUAUGUCCAUUUUUAUCCAAUUUAAUUUUUUUUCCCACUCGUAUGCAGGAAAAGAAACUGCACACAAACCUGGUCGUCUAAUUUAGAGAGUACGUCAACACAGGCAACUCAAAGAAAAAGAACAAUUAGAGUUCGAGAGUUUGGAGUCGAUACUCCUCCAUAGGCGGCCGCUCGAUUAAUGCCAGCUACAAGUUACCUCUUUCAUUUUUAUUUUUCCUUUUCAAGUAUUUUAAGUAGACUUUAAUUUUACUAAAAAAUUAAGAGAAAUGCUCUAAUGUAUGACGUAAUGAUGGGUAUGCACAUGCAUGCAUGCAUAUAUAAUUUUUUUUUAGUAAUGAUAUAGCCACAAACUCUUGUACAAACUUAUUUUGUACAAACUGAUGUGGCAUGAUAAAAUUAGUUGAAUUAAAAAUCUUUUGGCCCACAUGAUUUAUUUAUAUUAUUUUAUAUUUUCAUUCAACCAAUGAAUUAAUGCCACAUCAAUUUGUACAAGAUACGUUUAUACAAGAGUUUGUGGCUGUAUCAUCACUCAUGUUUUUUUAUUACAUGAGACCAAUGCUUAUGAUUACAAUUCAUAUUACAUGAAAUUAUUUAUUGAUAUAUUUAUAAUCAAACAAUUACUGAGAUAAAGAUUGACUUUUUAUCCUCCUAAAUAUUUAAAGAAUUUUUUAUUUCAGUCUCAUUUUAAAAGAGAAAAUAUUAUCUUCACACAAUUAUCAUUUAAAAAGUAAAUUUUAGAUCCAACAAUACUUUAGUGCAGGGGCAGCAGCCCUGCCCCCGACUGCAUGCAUAUAUAAUUUAAGAAACAAUAUAUUCCCCUGAUUUGAGCACUACUGAAUUUUUAAUCUUAAUAUAUAAAUAAAAUUUAAUUUCUUUUAUUUUUUUAUUUAUUAACAAUUAAUCAAUUAUCAUAUUCUUUCCUUAUCUAUAAUUUUUUUUUUUUUUUUGAAAGGAAGAAAUUUCAUUAAGCAAAACUUACAAACUGUUUAACAACCACAGAGGUGGAACAACAUUCCACUCCUGGGGACCUGACAAAGAACCUGUUGCCCUCGCAACGGAGUGAGCAGCAAGAUUCGCAGAUCGACACACAAAGGAGAAUUGCACUUCUCCGAUAAACUUAACUAAAGCUUGACAGUCUUCAAUAAUCAAACCAAACCCAUUUGGACUUGAAAACUGUUCAACCAAAGCUCAGAACACUUGUAGGCAGUCCAUCUCUAUGAUAACACAUGGAAUCUGCAGUUCUUUCAUCCAACUAAGAGCCUCUCUUAUGCCAAGAGCUUCAGCCUCCCUUGCUCCAAAAAUUCCUGCCACACUCACACACCUUGCUGCCACAAAACCUCCUUGUGAAUUACGAAUCACACAACCGAUCCCAAUCUUCCCUUGAGACUCAAACACAGCUGCAUCCACAUUGCACUUUACCCACCCAAACUUAGGUUGCUCCCAACACAAUGCCCCAUGAACCAAUCUGUGAGUAUCAUCAUUAACAUCAAAUACUUGCUGUUUUGCCGCUUGCCACUGAUAGAGAAACUGUCCAGCAGAGUUGAGAAUUUGACAAACUGAGCUGGUAGUGUUGUUCCAAACUUUGUUGUUUCGAUUUACCCAAAUCCGCCAACAAAUCAUCAUAGCAGUAUUACACUCAUCUUUACUGCACCUUGUAAAAACGUGAGCGAGCCAGUCCAAAAAAUUAGAGCAAUAGCCAACAAAACCCACCGAUGAAGAAGUCCAACAAGACUUAGCAAAACUGCAGGCAACCAAGGAGUGUAAAACUGUUUCUUCAUAGGCAUUACAUACAGAACACAUAGCUGGAACAUCCACCCUUUUGGAAAUUAAAUUGAGUGCUGUAGGCAACACGUUGUGUGCAGCUCUCCAAAUAAAAUUCUUAACCUUGUUCGGCACUUUCGAGUUCCACAAUUUCCUCCACACAUCCGCUAAGGAACCAGGAGUGAUAGGAUUUAAAACCUUAUAGCAACUGCGAACUGAAUAACAUCCCCGGGAAUCCGCCAUCCAAUACCACACAUCAUCUUCGCGGCGGGAACUAAGAGGAAUCUUCAGAAUCAACUCCUUAUCUCUUGAAUUGAAGAUGUCCGAAACAACAUUAUAGUCCCAAGCUCGUUGGUGAGGCAUCAUUAAGCUGCUGACAGGAGCUGCAGCUAUCUCCUCAUUAAGAUUUGUAGAAACACACCCAUCUUGGAGGUCUGGAAGCCAAGGAUCUUUACCAAUGGAUAUCGAAUGACCACUGCCAACCUGCACUCUACUCCCUUGGACCACCACUUCCUUUGCAGCCAGAAUGGAACGCCAUACAUAGCUGGGAUUAUGCCCCAACGAAGCUCGAACUACAGAAGUUCGCGGAUAGUAACGAGCUUUAAGAAUUCUCGCCAUUAGAGAAUCAGGGCAGGUUAAUAACUUCCACAUCUGCCUUCCUAACAUCGCAAUGUUAAAUAAAUAAAGUUGCUUGAACCCAAGUCCACCACACCCCUUUGGUUUGCACAAGUAUUUCCAUCCUUAUCUAUAAUUUAAACGACUAUGACUGAGACAUAAUUUUCUCGAUUUUUUCCUUACAAUUAUUGUCUGCCCUCAUCAUACUCUAUCCUAUAAUCUGCCACGUAAUUGCUAAUAUCGCCGUCCUGGACAAGUGGAUGGUAGUUUAUUAGUUAAUGUUCCUAUAUUCUAGGUGUCGUUGCAUUUUUAAAAUUGCGGUUGGCGGUAGCCAUUUGAUUUGCUCGUCUGGUUGUCCAAUCGUCAAUCAAUUCACCUUUUCCAAGACUCUGUGAACGAGGUGUUGCGUGCCUUGGCCUCUUGGCGCUUCAAAACUCCCAA